GCUAAUCCCUUAAAGCCAUUCUCAGUUCGGAUUGUAGGCUGAAACUCGCCUACAUGAAGCUGGAGUUACUAGUAAUCGCAGAUCAGAAUGCUGCGGUGAAUGCGUUCCCGGGUCUUGUACACACCGCCCGUCACACCACGGAAGUUGGGGGCGCCCGAAGCCACUUAGCUAACCCUUUUGGGAAGCGAGUGUCGAAGGUGAAAUCAAUAACUGGGGUGAAGUCGUAACAAGGUACC
This 236-nucleotide ribosomal RNA is filed under the name uncultured bacterium. Its description in RNAcentral is "partial 16S ribosomal RNA". It matches the Rfam family "Bacterial small subunit ribosomal RNA", at positions 1267 to 1500 of the family's 1533-position model. The record is from RNAcentral.